UCAGGGAAUAGUUUAUUAUAAAAUGUUAGUUUUGGGGAUUAAAGAGAAAACAGUUGUUUUUUUCCUGAU
This 69-nucleotide transfer RNA is filed under the name Ibacus ciliatus (Japanese fan lobster). RNAcentral's name for it is "tRNA-Pro". The record is from RNAcentral. Lineage: Eukaryota; Metazoa; Arthropoda; Malacostraca; Decapoda; Scyllaridae.